CGACGGGUAGCCGGCCUGAGAGGGUGACCGGCCACACUGGGACUGAGACACGGCCCAGACUCCUACGGGAGGCAGCAGUGGGGAAUAUUGSACAAUGGGCSAAAGCCUGAUSCAGCRACGCCGCGUGAGGGAUGACGGCCUUCGGGUUGUAAACCUCUUUCAGCGCAGAMGAAGCGAAAGUGACGGUAUGCGCAGAAGAAGCACCGGCCAACUACGUGCCAGCAGCCGCGGUAAUACGUAGGGUGCGAGCGUUGUCCGGAAUUAUUGGGCGUAAAGGGCUCGUAGGCGGUCUGUCGCGUCAGGAGUGAAAACUCGGGGCUCAACCCCGAGCCUGCUUCUGAUACGGGCAGACUAGAGGUAUGCAGGGGAGAACGGAAYUCCUGGUGUAGCGGUGAAAUGCGCAGAUAUCAGGARGAACACCGGUGGCGAAGGCGGUUCUCUGGGCMUUACCUGACGCUGAGRAGCGAAAGUGUGGGGAGCGAACAGGAUUAGAUACCCUGGUAGUCCAYRCCGUAAACGUUGGGCGCUAGGUGUGGGGSUCAUUCCACGAGUUCCGUGCCGCAGCUAACGCAUUAAGCGCCCCGCCUGGGGAGUACGG
Molecule: ribosomal RNA, 598 nt
Filed under: Marmoricola sp. CMT88
Lineage: Bacteria; Bacillati; Actinomycetota; Actinomycetes; Propionibacteriales; Nocardioidaceae
Description: partial 16S ribosomal RNA
Rfam family: Bacterial small subunit ribosomal RNA
Source: RNAcentral